UACGGAAGGCAGCAGUGGGGAAUAUUGCACAAUGGGCGAAAGCCUGAUGCAGCUAUGCCGCGUGUAUGAAGAAGGCCUUAGGGUUGUAAAGUACUUUCAUCGGGGAGGAAAAAACAAAACUAAUAAUUUUAUUUCUUGACGUUACCCGAAAAAGAAGCACCGGCUAACUCCGUGCCAGCAGCCGCGGUAAUACGGAGGGUGCUAGCGUUAAUCAGAAUUACUGGGCGUAAAGAGCACGUAGGUGGUUUUUUUAAGUCAGAUGUGAAAUCCCUGGGCUUAACCUAGGAACUGCAUUUUGAAACUGAAAUACUAGAGUAUCGUAGAGGGAGGUAGAAUUCUAGGUGUAGCGGUGAAAUGCGUAGAUAUCUGGAGGAAUACCUGUGGCGAAAGCGGCCUCCUAAACGAAUACUGACACUGGAGGUGCGAAAGCGUGGGGAGCAAACGAGGGAUUAG
Molecule: ribosomal RNA, 453 nt
Filed under: uncultured bacterium
Lineage: Bacteria
Description: bacterial SSU rRNA
Rfam family: Bacterial small subunit ribosomal RNA
Source: RNAcentral